This 497-nucleotide ribosomal RNA is filed under the name uncultured bacterium. Its description in RNAcentral is "partial 16S ribosomal RNA". It matches the Rfam family "Bacterial small subunit ribosomal RNA", at positions 28 to 507 of the family's 1533-position model. The record is from RNAcentral.
GAUGAACGCUGGCGGCGUGCUUAAUACAUGCAAGUCGAGCGAACAGAUGAUGAGGUUGCUCUUCUGACGUUAGCGGUGGACGGGUGAGUAACACGUUGAUCACCUACCUAUAAGACCUGGAUAACUUCGGGAAACCUGAGGUAAGAUCGCAUCAUAUCUCGUACCGCAUGGUGCAAUGGUUUACGGCGGUUUGGCUGUCACGUAUAGAUGGAUCCGCGCCGCAUUAGCUAGUCGGUAAGGUACCGCCUUACUAAGGCGACGAGGCGUAGCCGACCUGAGAGGGUGGUCGGCCACACUGGAGCUGAGACGCGGUCCAGACGCCUACGGGAGGCAGCAGUAGGGAAUGUGCGGCAGUGGGCGAGAGCCUGACGGAGCAACGCCGCGUGAGAGAUAGAGGUGUUCGGAGCGGAAUACUCGGUUAUUAGGGAAGAACAAAUGUGUACGUAAAUAUACACGUCUUGACGGUACCUGAUGAGAAAGCCCCGGCUAACUACGUG